UCGGGCGUAGCUCAGAGGAAGAGCAUCCGGCUGUUAACCGGAGUUGCGGAGGUUCGAGUCCUCCCGCCCGAG
RNAcentral lists this transfer RNA (72 nucleotides) under Acidobacteriota bacterium. Its description in RNAcentral is "Acidobacteria bacterium tRNA-Asn". It matches the Rfam family "tRNA". From Rfam's summary of the family: Transfer RNA (tRNA) molecules are approximately 80 nucleotides in length. Their secondary structure includes four short double-helical elements and three loops (D, anti-codon, and T loops). Further hydrogen bonds mediate the characteristic L-shaped molecular structure. tRNAs have two regions of fundamental functional importance: the anti-codon, which is responsible for specific mRNA codon recognition, and the 3' end, to which the tRNAs corresponding amino acid is attached (by aminoacyl-tRNA synthetases). tRNAs cope with the degeneracy of the genetic code in two manners: having more than one tRNA (with a specific anti-codon) for a particular amino acid; and 'wobble' base-pairing, i.e. permitting non-standard base-pairing at the 3rd anti-codon position. The record is from RNAcentral. Lineage: Bacteria; Pseudomonadati; Acidobacteriota. RNAcentral also lists the same sequence under 1 other name.